Mastomys coucha (southern multimammate mouse) is the source of this 485-nucleotide long non-coding RNA. RefSeq lists it as uncharacterized. The record is from RefSeq and is a predicted model, not a curated record. The transcript has 2 exons. NCBI's taxonomy places the organism in Eukaryota, Metazoa, Chordata, Mammalia, Rodentia, Muridae.
UGUGAAAUAACCACAUGUGCUGCAAGUCCAUGUGUACAACAUUCACAUCGUGUCUACAGUCCAGAACUUCACAACCUCCUCUCCUUUUGGAGCAGAUGGAUAGAACUAUCCAGAGGCUGAUGGUUGAGCUUCCUCAAGCAGAACAUUCAACCAUCCAGCCCCGUGAGUUCUCCAAGUGUGACAUUGCUACCUCUGGCUUGGAAACCCCAACUCUUAACUUGGAAACCCCAACCCUUAACUCCACUGGGAACAUUAGAGGACCUGACAUCCUUACCUUUGGCUGCAGUUGGUGUUUCUACAACUGAACUAUUAUUAUGAUCACUGGCUCAUGAAAGCAGCUCCACACGGCCACAGUCAAAGGACAGCGGAUAUCUAAAACUGCAUUGUUUAAUUAUACAGUGUCCUAGGCCAGAUUCUUAGAGAAAGAUAGAUAAAUAAAUAAAUAUUAUAAACAGCCAGAUUUGUAUUAAAAUGCAUUGUCCCUG